This is a long non-coding RNA of Cygnus atratus (black swan), 1365 nucleotides long. RefSeq lists it as uncharacterized. NCBI's taxonomy places the organism in Eukaryota, Metazoa, Chordata, Aves, Anseriformes, Anatidae. The transcript has 5 exons. The record is from RefSeq and is a predicted model, not a curated record.
CUUGGGGAAUUAUCAACUUGCUGCAGAUGAGGGCUCUCACCUGGCAAAUUAAUUUCCACUUUUAAAUAGAUCCACCCUGACUACUGACUGAGUCUGGUUGUUGUGUGGGUCCCAGCACUACCUGCAGGAAUCACAAAGCCCAGCCCUGAAGUGCUAUUUUUAUUGUGGUAUUAUCAAGCUGCCAACCAAGAAUGAAGACCCAAUAUAGUGGGAACAACACAAUGGGAGAAUAAGACUCUCUUUUCCCCAAGAUCUGUCUAAGGCAGGACCAGGUGGACAGUGGGGCUAAUGUGCAAUGCAAUUAAAUCAUAUUUAACAAAGCCCUUGGAGCUGCAGCCUUUAUGGAUGGAUGAUGAUGGCUUGAAGAUCUGCACAAGUUGAUUCAGAUAGUGUUUUUCCUACACAAACUAACUAGGGUUCCAAUUGUUUGUCACUGAACGCCGUUUAUUGCAGAAAACAUGAUUAUUUUCUCAGCAUUUUGACAGGAAAUACAGGGGAACUGCUCCACAUUACUCCCAAGAUCCUGGACACAGGGGAACCAGUGAGGCUUGGCUAAACUCGGGGGUGGAAAACAAGAAGAUGAAAGGGGACUACAUGCUUCUUCAAAACUGUGAACCAAGCCUUAUCUCAACUCUCUGAGCAUCAGCAGAAAGGUGGAGAGAAGUAAAAGCACAGCCUAUGGUUUCAAGCUGUAUUUAUCCACUGGAAAUGGAGAAGACGCUAGAUGGGAUGUAUUUGAGAUGUUUAAUGGAUGCUGAUAGAAGAUAUUGUGCAGUACCUGACAUAAGUUCUGGGAUUCUCUAUCUAAAUUGUGUUAGAGACUGGAAUGUGUAUCACAGUACUUAUUUCUUUUUUCUAAUAUCCACAGUUAGCUACCUAAACUGCUGUCUAGUGGGUGCAGGAUUGAAAGCACUCCUAUUUAUACAAAUAACCAAAAGCUUUGUGGCCCGGGAGAGAGAAAAUCAGCUUACGCUAAUUAUCAGAAGCCAGCAAGGUAAGGCUCGCAGAAGGUAAAUUUGGAUGUCUGCUGCUGUAGAAAUUGGUGCUUGUGGGGAACCUUUUAAAACCAAUUUUCUCUGUUUUCUCUUGCAUGCAGUAUAAUGGGAACUCUGUUUUCAAUGAACAGAAGAGUUUGUAGAAAAAGAUAAUAAAUUUAGUCAUUUUCUAUUUCAUGGCAUUAUUAUACAUGUUUUAUGAUGACUGUACAAUGUUUGCCUACCUAGCUCUUCCUAUGUCUUAGAGUGAUUUAAUCUUUUUUAUUCCUGGUUGUAAAUUGGUUUGUUUCCUUGGGCUCUUGUUUUGUCAAAGGGAUGUUUUGACACACUGCUGAGCUAAGUGAGGUUAUCCCAAUUACAUUUGACUGAU